CUGUGCUUUUCUCAUGGAAAGUGAAUGGGAAAAUGCAUGCGUAAGCCAAGGGGUUUUGCUCAGCUGAGAGCUCUGCAGCUGUCCUGCUAGGAAAUGAACACGACACAGGGCAGAGAGCUGUACAAGAGCUCAGGGGCCCCUCGUAUCUCGAAGGAAGGGGAAACAGAGGUCAACAGCUCUGGCCAGUCUUGCACUUCCCCAGGGCUACAGCUCUGCAAAUCAGAUUGCUGCAGGGAGAACAUUUUUUGGAGCUGACACUUCACUACCAGGCCAAAGAUGGGAAGCCCGAUACCCGGACCAAGGUUUUUCAGCCAGUGUAACGCCUGGUACCAAGGGGAAUGAUUCUGGACCUGGUAGCUCUAAAUCAUAGAACCAUAGAAUGGCCUGGGUUGAAAAGGACCACAAUGAUCAUCGAGUUUCAACCCCCCUGCUAUGUGCAGGGUCGCCAACCACCAGGCCAGGCUGCCCAGAGCCACAUCCAGCCUGGCCUUGAAUGCCUCCAGGGAAUGGUUACCCGGCGCCGGGAAUUCAUUCUCUCCUGCAGAGUAUGACUGGCCUGGUGUCUGCAAUAGUUAUGCAAAUAUCCCUCAGUUACAGCGGGAUUUGGGAAAUGGUGGUUGAGAGGAUUACUUCUGCUAGCAAUACAACGAACCCAAACGAUGAGGAAACGGUCCAGUACUGACGAACGGCUGACUCUUUGAGUCAGUCCUUCUCUCACACUCCCUCUUCUACCAUCAUUUCAUCCUCAAUGCUGUUAGUAUAGACAGAGCUCGAGGCAAAGGCAGCAUCUAAACACCACACGAGCAAUUGCCACUGCAGACGCUUCUGCACAGCGCAGUGCUAACACGGGCAGUUGAUGCUGGUUAUUUUGCCUACAGCCGGCACUUUGAUUUUGUGACUGCUACUACCAGUGUAUGGCUUAAUAAAUAUUAUUUCUGACCUAAUGUGCAUGUUGUCUCAUUUUUAUUACAUUUAUUUCUCUUGCUCGCCCUGCGCAGAAGCUCAGAGAGAAAUCAUUGGAAGAGAAUAACGUUACAGGGCGUAGAUCUGGUCACAAGUGCCGCUCACAGGGCUACAAAAC
Long non-coding RNA from Gallus gallus (chicken), 1081 nucleotides. NCBI's taxonomy places the organism in Eukaryota, Metazoa, Chordata, Aves, Galliformes, Phasianidae. The record is from Ensembl.